CUCCGGCUCACCCAAUCCCGACACGGACUGCUCUCCGCCUCACCCAAUCCCGACACGGACUCUUUUCCGCCUCACCCAAUCCUGUCCCGAGCUUUUUCCGCCUCACCCAAUCCCGACGCGCUCUUUCCGCGUCAGCCAAUCCCGACACGGACUGCUCUCCGCCUCACCCAAUCCUGUCCAGAGCUUUCUCCGCCUCACCCAAUCCCGACGCGCUCUUUCCGCGUCAGCCAAUCCCGACACGGACUCCUUUCCGCCUCACCCAAUCCUGACGCGGGCUUCGCCUUCGCUUCCAGUUCCUCUUUUGCCAUUCUCAGGGAGGAGGAGCUGCUCUUCUGGAUAUUUUGCAACCUGAUGGCGUGGAAAACAUUUCUCCUUUCGAUCUGGGAAAAAAAUCCUCAUGCAUGAUUCCCCGAAGAUUAACUAACAGGUUGAGAUGAUGGUCAAUUUACUAAUCUGCUCCAGAAAGACUUGCUUCCACCUGCAUAUCCCUUCUCCACUCUGCAAAUCUCCCUUGAAACUGCCAUCCAUGCUUUUAUCUGGACACCCAACUAUUACAGAACACUCUUGACCUUCGCCCUCAUUCUAUUCACUAUAAAGUUGAUUGAAAGCUCUUUUGUUCAUAAUGUGUUGUGUCAUAAAUGCACCUUAUUAUUUGUUCAUUUAUUUGUGAUAUUACUAUGUUUUGUGUGUACAAGUUGUACGUACUGUGUUGUGCAACUUGGUCCAGAGGAAUGUUGUUUUAUUUACUGGUAUACAUGUGUAUGGUUGAAUGACCAUACAGACAGAGCGUAGGUGUUCAGCAAAACGGUCUUCCAGUCUGCGUCGGGUCUCACCAAUAUAUAAAAGGCCACACCGGGAGCACCGGACACAGUAUACCACACCAGCCGACUCACAGGUGAAGUGGCGCCUCACCUGGAAGGACUGUCUGGGGCCCUUAAUGGUGGUGAGGGAGGAAGUGUAAGGGCAAGUGUAGACUUGUUCCGUUUACAAGGAUAAGUGCCAGGAGGGCCAGAGGAAGCAGGAUCUCCUAGUGGCCACAUAUUUUAAUUCCACAUCCCAUUCCCAUUCCGAUAUGUCUAUCCAUGGCCUCCUCUACUGUCAAGAUGAAGCCACACUCAGGUUGGAAGAACAACACCUUAUAUUCCGUCUGGGUAGCCUCCAACCUGAUGGCAUGAACAUUGAUUUCUCUAACUUCUGUUAAUGCCCCUCCUCCCUUUCUUACCCCAUCCCUUAUUUAUUUUUUAUUAUCCCCUCCCCUUUUUUUCCUCUCUCUUUUUUCUUUCUCUGCCCCUCUCACAAUCACUCCUUGCCUGUUCUCCAUCUCCUUCUGGUGUUCCCCUUUCUUUCUCCCUAGGCCCCCUGUCCCAUGAUCCUUUCCCUUCUCCAGCUGUGUAUCCCUUUUGCCAAUCAACUUUCCAGCUCCUCCCCCCCCCCCCCCCCCGACUUCUAUCAUUUCGGGUUUCACCCUCCCCCUCCCACUUUCAAAUCUCUUACUAUCUUUCCUUUCAGUUAGUCCUGACAAAGGGUCUCAGCCUGAAACGUCGACAUCGCUUCUUCCAAUAGAUGCUGCCUGGCCUGCUGCGUUCCACCAGCAUUUUGUUUGUGUUGCUUGAACUUUCAGCAUCUGCAGAUUUCCUCAUGUAAAAGUCAAGCUGUAUUGUGUUCAACUGCAGACUGCUCCAACAUUCAUGUGCUCAGGGAAUUUUUUUUGUGACUAUAUUUUACUGAUAUCUCAUAUGUGCUUGCUAUCAUAUCUGCUACGUGUGCCUUGUGCUGCGUAUGUCAAUUGAUACUGUGUUUUGCACCUUGGCUCCAGAGUAAUACUGUUUCAUUUGGCUGUAUUCAUAUGUAUUUAUGUAUGGUUCAAUGACAAUUAAACUUGAACUUGAUAGUAAAAUACACUGCCCUGGCUCCCAGUUCAGCAGUACCUCAAUUUCAAAAUUCUAAUCUUAAUUUUCAGAGCUAUCCUAUUCCUCAAACCUACAUCUCUCUGAUUGCCUCAAAAUCUCAGCCUGCCAAGAUGCACAGCCAUGAACAACAAGCGAAUUUUGUUUUAUUAAUUAUCCAAGCUGAAAAUACUGGUCAAGCUUGUCUUUAGUUCCAAAGUCCAAAGCUCUAGAGUUCACUUUCUACCCUCUCCACCACCCCCAAACGCUCUUAAGCUAUGGCUAUCUCUCCUCCAACUUUCAAUCCAGAUGAAGGGUCUCUAUCUGAAAUACUGGACAACCACUUCUAUCCCUAGGUGCUGCCUGACACCCCAGCUCUUCCUUGUAACUAUUUUCUCAAUUCCAUUUUAAAAUUCCUGAAUGAAUUUUGAGAAUCCUUGCCGGUAAGAAUUUUUUCCAUCCCCACAUAUUUUCCACUUUUUAAAAUCCCACUUCAUUUCAUGUGUGAACUAUCAAUAGGAACAAUUUUCUCAUGGGAUCAGGCACAAUAUUUCAAAAAUCCUCUUGUCUCACUUAAUUUCUUUGAAGGGGAAUACCUCAGCUUCUCUUGCAAGCAAAAAUCCUUCACCUCCUGGAAUCAUUAGUAGCCUAAUGGAUUGAUGACAAUAUAUGGAAAAUGUUGAAACUGUUAAUUUAAGGUAGUGGCUAAUGUGGUAUUUCCACCUGGCUCCCCAAAUGAAAAAUUUCACUUUUCCCAUAUUUGCCACCUGUCUGACUAUUCUACAAAAUUAUUUCCUUAGUGUUUUACAAUUGUUGUCAUUUACACAUUAUUCACACUUGUGCCAGUUAUGAAUAAGCAAAAUAGAAAAGGCGACAGCAGCACACUUGUCUUUACAUUGACCCUGGGAGACACCACAAUCUCCCUCUAGUUACAAAGAACACCAUUUCAUAUCUUCUUAGGCACUGAAGGCCAUUCACUUCAUGUCCAUGCUAGUUCUCACAGCAAUCCCAUUCCUCAGAUUACCUCCCUGUGAUCUAUUCUCUCUCAUGUGCCUAUUAGUUCCCCAACCUCCAAUUCUCCUACCACCGACCCUAGCAGUAAUUUACAUUAGCAAAUUAAGAACCACCAGCAUACUUUUGGGACACGGGGAGUAACAAUAUCCAGAAGGAAAACUCACAUCACAGUGAGAACGUGAGACAAAAGUUAUGUCUGAGCCCAGGUCACUGCACUGAGAGGCAACACCACCUACACUACCAAAUGUUUGGACCAGUGUUUUACCAUUGCCUCCUAACAGUGACCUCUUAUUCCAUAAGCCUGAAUUUGAGGAUAUAGAAUUUGAAAAGGUACAACAGAAGAGAUCAGAUUGCUUUGCAGGAACAUUCAGUAGACUGAUUUCCUUCUGAGCUAGAGGAUUCUCAUCUGUACUGAGGGUUCUCCUUUGCCAAUUUUGCACUUUAAAAUGA
Long non-coding RNA from Hypanus sabinus (Atlantic stingray), 3350 nucleotides. RefSeq lists it as uncharacterized. The record is from RefSeq and is a predicted model, not a curated record. The transcript is spliced from 3 exons. NCBI's taxonomy places the organism in Eukaryota, Metazoa, Chordata, Chondrichthyes, Myliobatiformes, Dasyatidae.